Non-coding RNA from Pelodiscus sinensis (Chinese soft-shelled turtle), 598 nucleotides. Lineage: Eukaryota; Metazoa; Chordata; Testudines; Trionychidae. The record is from RefSeq and is a predicted model, not a curated record.
GCAAUCUUUAAAAGUUGUGAAAGAAGAGUCCUUUCGGACAUUUAAGCUAGGAAUUAUGCUUUUAAUAUCCAUGUUUUUAUAUACCCAGUCUCUUAGCUGCCUUCACUGCUGUGUGUGACAGUCCAAACCUUCAAAGUCAAGUUUUUCUAUUGCUGAAGAAAAGAGCAAGGCUCUAAGUAAAGAAGACAUCACUGGCAGAAUAUCACACAGCCAAUGGCGGUUAUUUCUGUGCGGCUCGUGAAGGGCUUUGUUCUUUCCUCUGACAGCUCUGCAGCAGUGACCUAACGAAACACAGGCUGUAAAAGCAGGUGUUCACGCUGAAAAAAAAGCCCCCAUCUCAAGUUCAUUGCCUUUUCCUGUCCAUAAGCAACAUAGCAACAAAUAUGCACAGUCCCAUCCCAAUGGAUCAUCCAUCAAGUCAGCAGUGAGACAUUGGAUUUCUGGAUAAUUAUAGCACAUCUUGGAUGGAGUUAUCCUACCAGAUGUGACAGAUGCAAGAACGCUUUCAGUACUGACAUGGUUAUUCAAUCUCCUUUCUUGUGGAUUGCAGGUAUUCCUCAGCUCACUAAUCAUUUUGCUGAAUGGAGCUCAAGAUGAC